AGAGUUUGAUCAUGGCUCAGAGUGAACGCUGGCGGCGUGGCUCAGACAUGCAAGUCGAGCGAGAAUAUGCCUUCGGGCAUAGGAAAGCGGCAAACGGGUGAGUAAUACGUAAGUAAUCUGCCUCUAAAACGGGAAUAGCUUGGUGAAAACUGAGGUAAUGCCCGAUACCAACUUGUUUCGCAUGAAACAAGUUUGAAAGGUUUGUAAUGACGUUUAGAGAGGAGCUUGCGGCCUAUCAGCUUGUUGGCGGUGUAAUAGACCACCAAGGCUAAGACGGGUAGCCGGUCUAAGAGGAUGUACGGCCACAUUGAAACUGAGAUACGGUUCAAACAUCUACGGAUGGCAGCAGUUUCGAAUUAUUCACAAUGGGCGAAAGCCUGAUGGUGCGACGCCGCGUGGAGGAUGAAGGUCUUCGGAUUGUAAACUCCUGUCGUUGGGGAGUAAAAAGCUGGUGAAGAAUCAGCCUUGAGUUAACCCAAAGAGGAAGCAGUGGCAAACUCCGUGCCAGCAGCCGCGGUAAUACGGAGACUGCGAGCGUUACUCGGAUUUACUGGGCGUAAAGGGUGCGCAGGCGGUUAUGUGUGUUGGGUUUGUAAGGCUAUGACUUAAUUAUAGUAAGGGCUCAAAACUGCAUGACUAGAGUCUCGGAGGGGUAAGCGGAAUUCCAGGAGUAGUAGUGAAAUGCGUAGAUAUCUGGAAGAACACCAAAGGCGAAGGCAGCUUACUGGACGAAGACUGACGCUCAGGCACGAAAGCGUGGGGAGCGAAAAGAAUUAGAUACUCUUGUAGUCCACGCCGUCAACAUUGUACACUAAAUCUUGGCGUGUCGAUCGUGUCAGGAUUCAAGCUAACGCGAUAAGUGUACCGCCUGAGGACUACGGCCGCAAGGCUAAAACUUAAAGGAAUUGACGGGGACCCGCACAAGCGGUGGAGCAUGUGGCUUAAUUCGAUGCAACGCGAAGAACCUUACCUAAUCUUGACAUGUAGAGGACCGCGUAUGAAAGUACGCUUCCCUUCGGGGCCUUUACACAGGUGCUGCAUGGCUGUCGUCAGCUCGUGUCGUGAGAUGUUCGGUUAAGUCCGGUAACGAGCGCAACCCUUGUCUUUAAUUGCCAGCAAGUUAUGUUGGGGACUUUAAAGAGACAAACUUUAUAGUGGGAAGGUGGGGAUGACGUCAAGUCAGCAUGGCCCUUACGGUUAGGGCUGCACACGUGCUACAAUGCCUGGUACAAAGGGAUGCAAUAUCGCGAGGUGGAGCCAAUCCUAAAAACCAGGCCCAAUUCAGAUUGAAGUCUGCAAUUCGACUUCAUGAAGUCGGAAUCGCUAGUAAUGGUACAUCAGCUACGGUACCGUGAAUACGUUCCCGGGUCUUGUACACACCGCCCGUCAAGUCAUGAAAGCUUGUUUUGCCUAAAGAGCGUUUAACCAACCGUAAGGAGGUGGCGCUUUAAGGUAGGGUGAGUGAUUGGGACUAAGUCGUAACAAGGUAGCC
RNAcentral lists this ribosomal RNA (1492 nucleotides) under uncultured rumen bacterium. RNAcentral's name for it is "partial 16S rRNA". It matches the Rfam family "Bacterial small subunit ribosomal RNA". The record is from RNAcentral.